UUUAAUUUAUAAUUUCUUGUACAUUUUGCAAUCAGAGCAAAUGCAAAUGGAAUCAUUAAUUAGAUUGUGUCAUGCCUUUGCAUCAACUGCUUUGUUUAUUGAUAUGCCUAAAUGUCUGAGAAUCCAACUAAAAGAAUCAGGAUGAGAAGUCCAUCAAAUUAGAGAUAUUGAGUCAGGAUGGUUCAAUGUAAUUAUUAUUCUGAUAGUGAUUAUAGCUUUUGUACUGCUACUGGAACUAAGAAAAUCAUUAUAGAGAUAGCAUUAAAGUUAACAGAGAUAAUCAUCCUGUUCACUGCAUGUGAGCAACUGAUUCAGAAGAGUUUAUACACAUCUGAAGUGAGGAAGAAUUGUGUCUUAUAGAAGUGGGAGGAUUACAGAUGUAAAAAUCUGUUGACAAAACUGAUACUUAAAACAGUAAAUACCCAGCUUCACUUGACAACAUACUAUAUAUAUUAGACCAAUAAUAGAAAAGUAUUCCAAAUUAGAUAUCUCCUAAAGAAACAUUUUAAUAACAUUUAGAACUCCUCAAUUAAGAAUUCAUGUUUCUAUCAGUACUGAAGGAACUAUAAGAAUAAUUCAUACUGAGUGUAGUAGCACUAUGUUAAGGCACUUAGUAUAAAAGUUUAUGCCAUGGAAAACAAAAUGAGACAUAUGGAUAAGAGAGUGAUAUCUAUCAUAACAAAGAAAUAAUUUAUCCUGUUCUCUGCACAAUAAAAGCAAAGUAUUGGAAGACUGAUAGUAUCAAUUGAUUUUGUUACAAAUAUACAUAAAUUGAAAGUGCUGAAGAAAAUCAAACUAAAGAUAUGAUGAGACAAGAUGAGAAAUUUUUGUUUCUAUAUUAAGUGGACAGAGAUGGAUGACCUCGUUUUUGUUAGAAAAGUUAAGAAUAAUAAUCUUCUUUACUGAAAAUGAUAAACUCCAUGCUGUGGCUAAUUGCUGAUUGAAUUCAAGAUUAGUGUCUAUUGUAUCCAAAGGUAUAUCAAGAAACAAUUAGGACUAGCCAUUAGCAGAUAAACAUCAUCUGCAAAUACAAAGCUAUCUAUUAUAUUCCAAGUAUCUACCAUCAACAUAGUAAACAAAAUGAUGCCAAAGAUUCCCAUAGUCAGUAUAACAUUGAUGACAUUAUGCCCUACUGAUACUAUAUUUUAUUAAUAAUGCCAAUUAUCAUAAUAAAAUUGCUGAAAUAAAAAAAUCUCAGAAUUCAAAUAGAUCACUUUUAUCAAAUAAAAAUUAAUUUUUUUAAAUUUAUCAAAUCAUAUUGUUAUAAAAUACAAUGAUAAAAAAAAUUAUUUUCAAAAUCAAUAGUAGCUUUAAGCAAUUACAAGUGAAAUAUCUUAUUAGAUUUUAGAAUAACUCCUCUUUAAAUUGCAGUCUCCCUGCACUUUUCUUCUUGUCAAUGGCAAUAAUUGGGAAUAGAGUUUGUGCGAUGAACGUGGGCCCACAAGCCAAAGUGGCCCUUGAAGGGCUAAAGCUUUCAUUAAGGAGAAGUGUGAUAAAUAUAACAAUAUGCAUUUUAGUAUUAACUAAAGUGACCAGAUGUCUUAUGUUGGAAUGCAGGACAUGUCUAAAUAAAAAUAAUAAACAAGCACUUAAAAUGUUUGUGAGGACACCAUUUUCUUAGUUUAUUUAGUUGUGUGUCAUUAAAAUGUCUUGGAUC
RNAcentral lists this long non-coding RNA (1657 nucleotides) under Androctonus crassicauda. Lineage: Eukaryota; Metazoa; Arthropoda; Arachnida; Scorpiones; Buthidae. The record is from RNAcentral.